GACGUAGGGCGCGAGCGUUGUCCGGAAUUAUUGGGCGUAAAGAGCUCGUAGGCGGUUUGUCGCGUCUGCCGUGAAAGUCCGGGGCUCAACUCCGGAUCUGCGGUGGAUACGGGCAGACUAGAGUCAGGUAGGGGAGAACGGAAUUCCUGGUGUAGCGGUGAAAUGCGCAGAUAUCAGGAGGAACACCGGUGGCGAAGGCGGUUCUCUGGGCCUGUACUGACGCUGAGGAACGAAAGCGUGGGGAGCGAACAGG
This 253-nucleotide ribosomal RNA is filed under the name uncultured bacterium. Its description in RNAcentral is "partial 16S ribosomal RNA". It matches the Rfam family "Bacterial small subunit ribosomal RNA", at positions 524 to 776 of the family's 1533-position model. The record is from RNAcentral.